GCAAGUCAAACGGGAUGUAGUAAUACAUCUAGUGGCGAACGGGUGAGUAACGCGUGGAUGAUCUACCUAUGAGAUGGGGAUAACUACUAGAAAUAGUAGCUAAUACCGAAUAAGGUCAAUUAAUUUGUUAAUUGAUGAAAGGAAGCCUUUAAAGCUUCGCUUGUAGAUGAGUCUGCGUCUUAUUAGUUAGUUGGUGGGGUAAAUGCCUACCAAGGCGAUGAUAAGUAACCGGCCUGAGAGGGUGAACGGUCACACUGGAACUGAGAUACGGUCCAGACUCCUACGGGAGGCAGCAGCUAAGAAUCUUCCGCAAUGGGCGAAAGCCUGACGGAGCGACACUGCGUGAAUGAAGAAGGUCGAAAGAUUGUAAAAUUCUUUUAUAAAUGAGGAAUAAGCUUUGUAGGAAAUGACAAAGUGAUGACGUUAAUUUAUGAAUAAGCCCCGGCUAAUUACGUGCCAGCAGCCGCGGUAAUACGUAA
This 479-nucleotide ribosomal RNA is filed under the name Borreliella valaisiana. RNAcentral's name for it is "bacterial SSU rRNA". It matches the Rfam family "Bacterial small subunit ribosomal RNA", at positions 57 to 530 of the family's 1533-position model. The record is from RNAcentral. Lineage: Bacteria; Pseudomonadati; Spirochaetota; Spirochaetia; Spirochaetales; Borreliaceae.